GUACUCAUCCUGGUAGCAUACAUACUAAAAUUGAAACAAUACAGAGAUUGAGAUUAGCAUGGGCCUGACACAAGGAUGACACACAGCUCUGAGAAGCAUUCCAUAUUAAA
Small nuclear RNA from Mastomys coucha (southern multimammate mouse), 110 nucleotides. Lineage: Eukaryota; Metazoa; Chordata; Mammalia; Rodentia; Muridae. The record is from RefSeq and is a predicted model, not a curated record.